RNAcentral lists this ribosomal RNA (1161 nucleotides) under Triticum aestivum (bread wheat). RNAcentral describes it as "partial small subunit ribosomal RNA". The record is from RNAcentral. Lineage: Eukaryota; Viridiplantae; Streptophyta; Magnoliopsida; Poales; Poaceae.
AUGGAUCUGGCGGCUGCGCCUGCUUCCUCGUCCGACACGGGAUCCCAGGGGGACUCGCCUGCGCGCUCGUCUGCAUGCGCCCUGCCUGGAUCUUCUGUGGCCACCGGAUCCUCUGUUCCGCCUGUGCAUACAAUGACGACGUGCACGCGUGAUCACACUCGCAAACCAAAGCAACGUACAGAUGGUACUGUCACGUACAAUCCGUCCCGUCAUGCCUUCUUGGCCCUGCGGGAACCAGUGGAUCAUCGUGAAGCUGUUUCAUCUCCGGAGUGGCGACUGGCCAUGCAACUUGAGCUCGAUGCGUUACGACAGAAUGGUACCUGGACUUUGGUUCCUCCUCCUCGUGUCAACGUCAUUGACUGCAAAUGGGUGUUCAAAAUCAAACACAAACCAGAUGGCACUAUUGAUUGGUACAAGGCACGUCUGGUUGCAAAGGGGUUCAAACAACGCUAUGGCUUGGACUAUGAUGAUACGUUUAGCCCGGUCGUUAAACCUGUCGCUGUGUGUUUUGUUCUAUCCAUUGCAGUCUCUCGUGGAUGGUGUUUGCGUCAGUUGGAUGUUCAAAAUGCUUUUCUUCAUGGCAUUCUCCAAGAAGAGGUAUACAUGCGCCAACCUCCUGGUUUUGUGAAUCCCUCGAUGCCUCAUCAUUUGUGCAAACUUCGCAAGGCUCUCUAUGGCCUCAAACAGGCUCCUCGAGUGUGGUAUUCUCGGCUGAGUUUUAGGCUUCAACAACUUGGUUUUAUCGCAUCCAAAGCUGACACGUCUCUCUUUGUCUACAACCAAAGUGGUGUUACCAUUUUCAUGCUUGUGUAUGUAGAUGACAUUAUUGUGGCCAGCUCCUCUACCACUGGUAUUACCAAGUUACUUGCCGAUCUUCAAGCCUCUUUUGCUCUCAAGGAUCUCGGCCCCUUGCAUUAUUUUCUUGGAGUACAUGUGGAGUCAUCGCCAGAGGGAAUUGUUCAGUCUCAGCAGAAGUAUAUUAGCGACAUUCUUCGUUGUGCAAACAUGGAGAAUUGUAAAGUCUCUACCACGCCCAUGUCCUCCAGUGAGAAAAUUAGCAAGGAGAGUGGAUCACCACUGUCUCAGGAGGAUAGCACCAGGUAUCGUUGGAGCUCUCCAGUAUCUAACACUCACAAGGCCAGAUAUCUCUUUUGCUGUUAA